RNAcentral lists this ribosomal RNA (253 nucleotides) under uncultured bacterium. RNAcentral's name for it is "partial 16S ribosomal RNA". It matches the Rfam family "Bacterial small subunit ribosomal RNA", at positions 524 to 776 of the family's 1533-position model. The record is from RNAcentral.
UACAGAGGGUGCAAGCGUUAAUCGGAAUUAUUGGGCGUAAAGGGCAUGUAGGCGGGUUUAUAAGUUUGAUGUGAAAUCCCUGGGCUUAACCUGGGAAUGGCGUUGAAGACUGUAGAUCUAGAGUGAGGGAGAGGGCUGUGGAAUUUCCGGUGUAGCAGUGAAAUGCGUAGAGAUCGGAAAGAACACCAGUGGCGAAGGCGGCAGCCUGGUCCUUAACUGACGCUGAGGUGCGAAAGCGUGGGGAGCAAACAGG